This is a long non-coding RNA of Populus euphratica (Euphrates poplar), 101 nucleotides long. RefSeq lists it as uncharacterized. NCBI's taxonomy places the organism in Eukaryota, Viridiplantae, Streptophyta, Magnoliopsida, Malpighiales, Salicaceae. The record is from RefSeq and is a predicted model, not a curated record. The transcript is spliced from 3 exons.
AUAUUACUCGAGGACUCUCUUCUUCCAUUAUAAUAUCCCAUAACCCUUCAAGUGCAGUUUCAGGUAAGGGUUCUUUGGCGUAGUCCGACUUGGCUUUGAAG